This 91-nucleotide microRNA precursor is filed under the name Canis lupus dingo (dingo). Its description in RNAcentral is "mir-8799 microRNA precursor family". It matches the Rfam family "mir-8799 microRNA precursor family". Lineage: Eukaryota; Metazoa; Chordata; Mammalia; Carnivora; Canidae. The record is from Rfam by way of RNAcentral.
GGGGGGUGGCUGGAUCCUGGGCUGUGUCCUCAGCGCCUUGUGCUCCGGGGCCUGCGCUGUUGUAUUUGCGCUACCGGCCCCGCAGCCCCUU